AUUGAACGCUGGCGGCAUGCUUUACACAUGCAAGUCGAACGGUAACAGGCCGCAAGGUGCUGACGAGUGGCGAACGGGUGAGUAAUGCAUCGGAACGUGCCCAGUCGUGGGGGAUAACGCAGCGAAAGCUGCGCUAAUACCGCAUACGAUCUAUGGAUGAAAGCGGGGACCGUAAGGCCUCGCGCGAUUGGAGCGGCCGAUGUCAGAUUAGGUAGUUGGUGGGGUAAAGGCUCACCAAGCCGACGAUCUGUAGCUGGUCUGAGAGGACGACCAGCCACACCGGGACUGAGACGCGGCCCAGACUCCUACGGGAGGCAGCAGUGGGGAAUUUUGGACAAUGGGGGCAACCCUGAUCCAGCAAUGCCGCGUGCAGGAAGAAGGCCUUCGGGUUGUAAACUGCUUUUGUACGGAACGAAACGGCUCUGGUUAAUACCUGGGGCUAAUGACGGUACCGUAAGAAUAAGCACCGGCUAACUACGUGCCAGCCGCCGCGGUAA
RNAcentral lists this ribosomal RNA (497 nucleotides) under uncultured bacterium. Its description in RNAcentral is "partial 16S ribosomal RNA". It matches the Rfam family "Bacterial small subunit ribosomal RNA", at positions 29 to 523 of the family's 1533-position model. The record is from RNAcentral.